GAGUUUGAUCCUGGCUCAGAUUGAACGCUGGCGGCAUGCCUUACACAUGCAAGUCGAACGGCAGCACGGGCUUCGGCCUGGUGGCGAGUGGCGAACGGGUGAGUAAUACAUCGGAACGUGCCCUGUCGUGGGGGAUAACUAGUCGAAAGAUUAGCUAAUACCGCAUACGACCUGAGGGUGAAAGCGGGGGACCGUAAGGCCUCGCGCGAUAGGAGCGGCCGAUGUCUGAUUAGCUAGUUGGUGGGGUAAGAGCCUACCAAGGCGACGAUCAGUAGCUGGUCUGAGAGGACGAUCAGCCACACUGGGACUGAGACACGGCCCAGACUCCUACGGGAGGCAGCAGUGGGGAAUUUUGGACAAUGGGGGCAACCCUGAUCCAGCAAUGCCGCGUGUGUGAAGAAGGCCUCGGUUGUAAG
This 416-nucleotide ribosomal RNA is filed under the name uncultured beta proteobacterium. RNAcentral's name for it is "bacterial SSU rRNA". It matches the Rfam family "Bacterial small subunit ribosomal RNA", at positions 9 to 429 of the family's 1533-position model. The record is from RNAcentral. Lineage: Bacteria; Pseudomonadati; Pseudomonadota; Betaproteobacteria.